CUUUAAAAAUCUGGAUCAAGCUGAAAAUUGAAACGACACACAGCGAAUGUGUGUUCGAGUCUCUCAAAUUUUCGCAACACGAUGGUGUUUUACGAAACAUCUUCGG
RNAcentral lists this small RNA (106 nucleotides) under Yokenella regensburgei. Its description in RNAcentral is "Salmonella enterica Typhi npcRNA 44". It matches the Rfam family "Salmonella enterica Typhi npcRNA 44". The record is from RNAcentral. Lineage: Bacteria; Pseudomonadati; Pseudomonadota; Gammaproteobacteria; Enterobacterales; Enterobacteriaceae.